Molecule: ribosomal RNA, 406 nt
Filed under: uncultured bacterium
Lineage: Bacteria
Description: partial 16S ribosomal RNA
Rfam family: Bacterial small subunit ribosomal RNA
Source: RNAcentral
AUUGAACGCUGGCGGCAGGCCUAACACAUGCAAGUCGAGCGAGCGGCGGACGGGUGCGUGAUGUCUGGGAAACUGUCUGAUGGAGGGGGGUAACUACUGGAAACGGUAGCUAAUACCGCAUACCAUCAGAUGUGCCCCGAUGGGAUUAGCUAGUAGGUGUGGUAACGGCUCACCUAGGCGACGCUCCCCAGCUGGUCUGAGAGGAUGACCAGCCAGACUGGAACUGAGACACGGUCCAGACUCCGACGGGAGGCAGCAGUGGGGAAUAUUGCACAAUGGGCGCAAGCCUGAUGCAGCCAUGCCGCGUGUGUGAAGAAGGCCUUCGGGUUGUAAAGCACUUUCAGCGGGGAGGCGUUACCCGCAGAAGAAGCACCGGCUAACGCCGUGCCAGCCGCCGCGGUAAUAC